AGCAGGUACGGAGCGUGAACAUUUAAUAUUGCACAGACAAGGAACAGGACAAGAACAGCGUUAGAACCGGGUAACACAACGACAAACAACAAUUAUGUUGAAGCGGGUAACAACCUCGGGAACAGACAGAUAUAGGGGAGGAAAUGAAAGCAUGUGAUUGAGUCCAGGAAGAAGAGUCCACACAACACCACCUGUGUACUGGGUCUGCUGGUCAGUCAACUGAGAUUACGAUACACAGAUGGAGAGCGGAGCAUGGCAGAUUAUGAAGGGGAGUAGUCCAAUAAAGACAUGGACUGACUAUAACAGUUCUACAUCUUACAAUUUUCACAAGGAUUUUGAUGCAUAUAGUCAUGGCUAAUAAACUACACUGACUCCUCAAAUGCAGCUGCAAAUUGGUAUUGGACUGAAAGACAGAGGCAUAAGUCGUCAGAAACCUCAGACAGCAAAGAAACGAAGGCAGCUUCACCAGAGACAGGAGUCUGAAAAAGAGGGAGGCCUGUUGUCUCGUCUGAAGACCUGUGUGUCUGCUAGUCUCAGUGGGACACCAACAGGAGCCCGUGGUCUGACACUCUUUGUAAAGGAGCCAACAAUGGCUACAUGGCAUUUCACCCACUCAAAGGCAUCAAG
Molecule: long non-coding RNA, 627 nt
Organism: Oncorhynchus tshawytscha (Chinook salmon)
Lineage: Eukaryota; Metazoa; Chordata; Actinopteri; Salmoniformes; Salmonidae
Source: Ensembl